RNAcentral lists this unclassified non-coding RNA (188 nucleotides) under soil metagenome. RNAcentral describes it as "partial internal transcribed spacer 1". The record is from RNAcentral.
CAGAGUUGCGAAACUCCCACAAACCAUCGCGAAUCUUACCCGUACGGUUGCCUCGGCGCUGGCGGUCCGGAAGGCCCUCGGGCCCCCCGGAUCCUCGGGUCUCCCGCUCGCGGGAGGCUGCCCGCCGGAGUGCCGAAACCAAACUCUUGAUAUUUUAUGUCUCUCUGAGUAAACUUUUAAAUAAGUCA